CGACACGGAUGACAAGGAAAGUGCCAUCGUACAUCCUCUGGGUGUCUUGAGGAGCUGGUCUUUGGAUAAUGCUGAGCAGGUCUUUCUUUCUGGUAAAGAUUAUCAUUACAGUGAAGUAAAAGAAUUUAACAGACAGAUUGACAAACAACUGACGAAAGAAGAGAGACGAUUCAAUAGCGGAUGCCCUUCCAGCUGCAACCCAGUACUGGGAAACACCCAUUUACACUCAUACACUUGAACAUGGGGAGAACCUGCAAACUCCACACAGAAAUGACCACUGGCCCAGCCGGGGCUUGAACCAGCAACCUUCUUGCUGUGAGGCGACGGUGCUAACCACUGUGCUGCCCUAUGUGCUCUAUGCGGGUGAGUGGGAUUGACAAACCACUUGGAGGACACACUCUUGCUGUCUUAAUGCACCAGACAUUUUGUUAUAAAUCAUGUGCGUUUCAUGUUUAUUCAUAUAACUGCUAUUUUAUCUCUUAGCACUUCAUUUUUGUCUUGAUAUUUAAUAUCUCUUGUUUAAAUACACUAUGAACAGCAGAUGCGCUAAUUAUUUUCCUUGUUCCCUAUUUCCACCUGGGGAUAUUCAUCCAGAGGCCUCUAGAGAUCGUGACCUGUGAAGAGAUGAUGCCACCAUAGAGGACUUCUA
RNAcentral lists this long non-coding RNA (649 nucleotides) under Danio rerio (zebrafish). RNAcentral describes it as "lncRNA si:ch211-274e20.4 (ENSDARG00000105526.2)". Lineage: Eukaryota; Metazoa; Chordata; Actinopteri; Cypriniformes; Danionidae. The record is from RNAcentral.